AUGGGCCCGCGGGCCGGGCGGGCUCGGGGCGGCCGGGACGAGGAGGGGCGACGACGAGCUGCGAGCAAAGAUGUGCCCCGGGACCCCCGGCACCUUCCAGUGGAUUUCCUUGCGGAAAGGAUGUUGGCGGUCCCUGUGACCUGUGGAGACACGGCCAGAUCUGCCCUCCAGAUUUAUUAGGAGAAAAACCUUCCCGGAAGCUGCAGAAGGACAAAUACAGAAUCCGUGUCUGGGAGAAACCUCGUGGCCUGGUCUCCAUUAUUUGAGAUGAGUUACAUCUUGGAGGUGAGGACGUGCCUCGUGGUCUAAAGCUUCGGCACAAGGGCCCAACUGGAAUUCCACUUACGGGCCUGAUCUUUUGGCCAGAAGGAGAUUAAAAAGAUGCCCCUCAAGAUGGCUGUGCCUGUCAGCUGCAUGGAGCUUCGUUCAAGUAUUUUCUGAGCCUGAUGGAUUUACAGUGAUCUUCAGUGGUCUGGGGAAUAACGCUGGUGGAACCAUGCACUGGAAUGACACACGCCCGGCACAUUUCAGGAUACUAAAAGUGGUUUUAAGGGAGGCUGUGGCUGAAUGCCUCAUGGAUUCUUACAGCUUGGAUGUCCAUGGGGGACGAAGGACUGCAGCUGGCUGAGAGGGUUGAGAUCUCUGUUUACUUAGAUCUCUGCCAACUUCCUUUGGGUCUCCCUAUGGAAUGUAAGACCCCGACUCUUCCUGGUGAAGCAUCUGAUGCACGUUCCAUCCGGCGCUCAGCUGGGCUUGAGCUGACCAUACUCCCUGGAGCCUUCUCCCGAGGUGCGCGGGUGACCUUGGCACAUACAGCCAUCAUGAUGGUACUUUAAGUGGAGGCUGAAUCAUCUCCCCUUUGAGCUGCUUGGCACGUGGCUCCCUUGGUGUUCCCCUUUUACUGCCAGGACACUGAGAUUUGGAGAGAAUCCUGUUACACCUGGGAUUUAGGCACUUUCAAUCUGAAAAAAUACAUAUCCUUUCAGCACUCUGGACGGACUUGAGAACUGUCCUUACGUGACCUAAAGCUGGAGUAUUUUGAGAUUGGAGAAUUAAGGCCAACAGAGAUUUUGAGAAACACAUUGAAGGAUCUGUUAACACUUGAUAUACCCAAUAAAAGCAGUGGUUGUGCCAGUGCUGAUCUGUCUUGAUGUGAAUGUGAACAAUGGGAACCUGAGCUGAGCAGUUAAUGCUAGGGUGACAGAAACUGGACCUCUCCCAAGACAUGUGACAGAGUAAUACAGCAGCCAACUUCUUCGCCAAAUUAAAGUUUUACAAGAUUUAACCUGUCAUCAAGACCUGGGAUUUUGGUGAAGGACAGAAUAACGGGCUCCCAGAUUCACAAGCCCCACCAAGAGGAUCACCCCAGGAACGCUUGGAGGCUGAGGAGUUCACUGAGGCUACUGCAUCUUGAGACUCAGGAUGAAGACCCAGCUUGGGGCUGUCAAAGGUUUUUUGCAUGUCUGACACCCAUGACUCCACCUGGACCUUAUGGCUCCACCCAGAAGCAAUUCAGCCCAACAGGAGGACAGCUUCAACCCAUUACGAUUUCAUCUCUGCCCCAACCACUCAGCAGCAAGCACCUGUUACCUGUCCACCCCCACCCCUUCCCCCAAACUGCCUUUGAAAAAUCCCUAACCUAUGAGCUUUGAAUAAGAUGAGUACGAACUUCAUCGCCCACGUGGCGUGGCCGGCCUCGUGUCUAUUAAAUUCUUUUUCUACUACAA
Homo sapiens (human) is the source of this 1727-nucleotide long non-coding RNA. Ensembl annotates it as Pvt1 oncogene. Its record names the gene PVT1. The record is from Ensembl. NCBI's taxonomy places the organism in Eukaryota, Metazoa, Chordata, Mammalia, Primates, Hominidae.